Long non-coding RNA from Neopelma chrysocephalum (saffron-crested tyrant-manakin), 2494 nucleotides. RefSeq lists it as uncharacterized. The record is from RefSeq and is a predicted model, not a curated record. Lineage: Eukaryota; Metazoa; Chordata; Aves; Passeriformes; Pipridae. The transcript has 3 exons.
GUGAGGGGCGCCCCUGCCCUCAGCGGGCUCCUCUCGCCCACAGCGCGGCUGGAAGGGGCCCCACGGCCUCACCUGUCGGUGCAGGGCCGGCCGAGGGCAGGACAGGGAGGAGGAAAUAGAAAUUCCCCCCCGCCCCCCAAGGAAGAACCUGGGGACGGCUUGCACCAAGCUCCCAGCACCAGAUAGUUCAGCCAAACUUAGCUCCACGGUUGAAGCUGAACAAGCAUUGAGAGCAGGAGCUGCCCCCUCCUCGUCCCUGAUCCCCCUCAGAGCUGCCCGGGCAGACAGCGGGGCAGAGGCUCAGCACCACGGCCUGGUCCUGGCAAGUGCAGAUCAUAGCCCUUAUGUCACAUACAAACCCUGCAAAUUUGGUGCAACAGGUCCAGCCACACACAGUGUAUAAGACUUUGCCUUGGCAGAAAGGGAAUGGAGCCAUUUGGGAUGCAGAUGAUCCUUGACUUCCUUCUGCUCCAUCUCAAAGAAGUACCCGCUGAAGCUGCAUGCAAAACUGUUUAAAUGAAAAGGUGCUAUGUGAAAACCUAGACUUUUCUGACACCUCCCCUGACUGAGGCCUGUAAGGAGGGUGGAUGAUCAGAACAGUCUCUUCUGACUCUAACAGCGACAUACCUUAAAAACUGGCACAAUGCAAUGUCCCAGAAUCAUCUAAUUACCCAACAAGAACUUUUUGAAAACUAAGAAGGAAAUUGAAUCACAGGAGAGAGAGAUAUAUUCCAGAUCCCAAGAGAAAGAUGCACAGAGCAAAUCUUGCAGAGAUAAACCAGGUCUGAGAAGGGAAGAUGUGCUAUAAGCAGGAGAAUAAGAUGAAGACAAAACUUUUAAGUUGUUCCAUUUCAUUGACUCUCACUAGUGACUGCUUGAAACUGUUCUUUCUGAAUUGCCAGAAAUGGUAUUGUGGUUGGCAUAAAUUGUGAGACUGCUUCAGAACAAGGCACGUUUUACUUUAAAUACAUUUUGACAUGUUCCUGUACUGAGUUUCAAUAAGAAUACUUGAAAGCUUUCUUUAAAGAGGACAUAAUACUUCCCUGCUUCCCAAGUAAUUUUUUUAUAGCAAAUCUUAUUGUAUGAAGGCAUCUUUCAGAAAGGUCUUAAGUAAUUUUCUCCAGCAUCAUGAAAUCAUUAUCACUGCAAUACUCCAACUGCCAAUGUCAUCCAGUACCAAGAAGCUGCACUGACUUAAAAAGAGAAGAACAAAAACCAAAUUAUCAGAUAGUUGCUGGUAUAAAUGAAAAGCUACUUUACUACUACAGUCUAUCCUGUCACACUCCCUUCCUGCACACACUUCCCACCUUCCCCAAUAAACUCUCUGAACAGGCUGAGGAAGCACAGGCUAUGUUAGAAAAGCUAGUCAAGGCUACAGUCAUUACUUGCAUCAUAUCACAACUGUGAAAAACAGGUGAAAGCAACCCAACCUGACUCCAGAAUUUUAGGUGAUUUUUUUAUACCAAACCCGAUCAGCUACAUCGGGUGGCCAUAUUAUUUUAAAUCUCACACCUCUGGAGUGAUAGUACCUCAAACUCUUCUUUAGGUUCCUCAAAACAUCACUCACUUUCUUUGCUUAAAGCAUUCCUUCCCCCGCUCUUAUUAUCUAGUUCAAACUUUUCCUUCCUUAGCCUUAAGCGAUUGCUCUUUCUCCUACCAUCUGAGACCAAGCAAUUCCCUCUCUUCAUUUAUCUUACUACCUUGACGAUAUUAAUAGAGUAUUAAUAGUCACCUCUACUCACUCUAAAAAUUGAGUUCACUCUGCUUUUUGCUGCCCUCCUUUGUGUUCUCUCGUUUCCUCAGUGCCUCCACAAGCAAGAGACUUAACUGACAAAGUAUUCAAGAUAAGCAGGUCUGUGUAUAGGACCUUAUAAAAAAAAAAAAAACAACCACCUUAUUGCUCUGUAACAGGAACUAUGAUAUAAACCAGUGUGAUACUUUUUUUUUAAUUAACUUUGAUGAUUCUACGUUGAUCCAUGAACAUGAUGUCCUACAGACCGGAGAAAUCCCAUUAAUCAAUUUUAAAGGAAAAUGUGAGUGGAACAAACCAAGAUGACUCAGUUGCUGAAGAGUACAUGCAUUCUUUCAUCACAAACACAUCUGGCCAUUGUUACUGCAUGGCCAAAGCACAACUGUGCUUUCAGCUUACCCCUCUGCAUCCUUUUCUCAAGCUCCUGAGACAGAACACCAUUAAGUAUUAGUAAGAAUUAACUGUUACAUUGGGACUGGAUAGAGUUGAAAAAAGGGUUGAACAAAAAAUGACCCUCAUAAUUGGGCAAACGUGAGGUCACGACGAAGGAAUGCAGAAAAGGAUAUCCCAAAAUAACCCCACAUAAACAUUGAAAAGCUUUUCCACUACAUAUUUAUAUGCAAAUAGAAAAUUAUAAAACCAUUGAAGAGACAUGGGCUUUCCCGCCCAUCCCCACCCACCAUGAGAAGACAUGACAAUUUUAUUUUCUGGUCUGCACUACUUAGCUCUUCACAUGAAUUACAU